AGUCUGUGGUGCGAGCAACACCAGAGCAAGUCUUUGUACCUCUCCCAAGCAUCAUACAUGUUCUUGUCAUCGAACUGCACAAAAUAAGAUAUGUCAUUUCUCAAUCU
Molecule: non-coding RNA, 107 nt
Organism: Ricinus communis (castor bean)
Lineage: Eukaryota; Viridiplantae; Streptophyta; Magnoliopsida; Malpighiales; Euphorbiaceae
Source: Rfam